CAAUGCUUUUAAUUACACAACAACGAUACACUGUAUGACUAUUAAAGACCACACAUAUACUUCAAAAGUCACAAGACCACAACUGUACAGUGAGCAACCUCGCACCCAGGGCUAGUCGCGAACUAUGUCGCCGCCUUCAAUUCGCGACUAGCCCUGGGUACGAGGUUGUACAGUGAGUGCGGGCUGUCCGGUAUGUACUAUUUAAAACGCGAGCAGGAGUGCUUUAUCAGAUAUAAAACACGUGAGCGCAGCUCGAAUGUUUUAUCUGAUAAAGCACGGACUUUUAAAUGGCUAGUAAACAUAAAAGCCCGGUUCACAUAUACCUACUUACACCUGCGGUAUGUCGGCGGGCUAUUGACAGCAACUGCUCUGAACAAUGAUAGCGCAGGUAUACCGCAGGCAUAUAUGUGAACCAGGCUAAAGAAAGAGUAAAGUAAAGUGCUUAGCUGAUAUUUUACUUCGCUUGAAUAUACUUCUUCGCCAAAUUGCCUUUCUUUUGAUUUUACUGAAGUGAAGUCGAUCGUUUAAGAACUGAAUAUCGAAUAACAUGGUCAUGGAGCAAAACUUGCAUCCAAGGACGUCAAAUUAAAGCCACGUUACUUCGAAAACUACAGGGUGUAUCAAAAAACCUGCAAACACUAUAAUUUGCAUAAUUCUGCUGCUUACCAGCAUUUCAAUGUUUGUGCUGCUUAUUUUGAUCCUGGGAUUUGAAAAUACAUUCUAACUAACCGCGUUGAUAGAAAUUAGAAUAACAAAAAGUUAUUUGUAACGCAAACAACUAAUUAUCAGUUCGACUGCGAAUGUCAACUAUUGCGGUGUUUACGCAUGCUUGGGAUCAAUUAGUUCAAUCACCAUCUAUAGAAAUUAUCCUAUUGUUGUUAAGCCCAGGAUUUUUCAUGCUCCUGGUAAUUAAAAAUUCAAUUCAAUUGUGUUUACGCGCUCUUGUGUUCAGCAUAGUGCUCGGGCAUUCAAAUUAUAACAAUAUGAUAAUUUCUAUAGAGGGUACUUUUUUAGAGGACACCCUGUACUUCAAAGGUUUUCAGGUUUUUUGAUGCACCCUGUAGAGUUGAGGACAUUGUUUUUAAUGUUUCGACACAUGCAAUAACAAAAGCAUGAUCAAUUAUAAAAAAUAUUCAUUGCACAUACUUCAAUCCCAUGCACGAUCCUACUGACUUGCCCCGGCUGCGUUGCAUGCUUAAACAAUGCCCAUGCAUAAAUUAAACUAUGUUGUGUACGCACUGAGUACAGGGUGUCUCAAAAAAACCGCUACCCUUGGAAAUUCACCAUUGUUCUAAUUUGAAUGCCUGAGUGCUAUCUUGAACU
Molecule: non-coding RNA, 1323 nt
Organism: Paramuricea clavata
Lineage: Eukaryota; Metazoa; Cnidaria; Anthozoa; Malacalcyonacea; Plexauridae
Source: the annotation of a GenBank genome assembly